CAUGUAUGUUCUUGUUUAAAUCAUACAUAAAUAUUACUUGGACAUCACAAGAUGUUUUUUUACAGGAAGCAUUUUUACCCUGAUGAUUGCAGAGCAGCUGUGUGUGCAAACCAAGACCAUUUGGUCGAUGCUUAUCUGCACACAGUUGCAGAGCCGGUCUGCUGACAUUGAAAAAAUGAUGAAACACAAGGUGGAUGAUCUUUCAGUAAGGAGGACAACAUCUCAGGAGACUGAAUGAAGUGCCAAGAAAGCAACCAGGAGACCACGGGACAGUCGAGGGUUUGGCAAGACAAACAAGCCUCCGCCUGAGCUGAGGCCUUUAUUACUUAUUG
Molecule: long non-coding RNA, 332 nt
Organism: Gasterosteus aculeatus aculeatus (three-spined stickleback)
Lineage: Eukaryota; Metazoa; Chordata; Actinopteri; Perciformes; Gasterosteidae
Source: Ensembl